Molecule: ribosomal RNA, 253 nt
Filed under: uncultured bacterium
Lineage: Bacteria
Description: partial 16S ribosomal RNA
Rfam family: Bacterial small subunit ribosomal RNA
Source: RNAcentral
UACAGAGGGUGCAAGCGUUAAUCGGAGUUACUGGGCGUAAAGGGCGUGUAGGCGGGUUGAUAAGUCUCAUGUGAAAGCCCCGGGCUUAACCUGGGAAUGGCAUGAGAAACUGUGAUUCUAGAGUGAAGUAGAGGGUGACGGAAUUUCCGGUGUAGCGGUGAAAUGCGUAGAUAUCGGAAGGAACACCAGUGGCGAAGGCGGUCACCUGGACCGACAUUGACGCUGAGGAGCGAAAGCUAGGGGAGCAAACGGG